GUGGCACCACCGAGGGAACUAUAUGAUGCACCACUAUAGGGGGUGUAGAGACAGCCUAGGGAGGCUGUGAUGCUGGCUGAAAGGGUGUGAGAAAGGUCUGGAUCGCUUGGAUUGCAAUCAUCAGAUGUUGAACUUGCUGGAAGAGCUGAUCGAAUUGAUCAACCGUGACUGGCACCGACUGAGCCGGUUGAACCGAUAGAGGGA
Molecule: long non-coding RNA, 204 nt
Filed under: Elaeis guineensis (African oil palm)
Lineage: Eukaryota; Viridiplantae; Streptophyta; Magnoliopsida; Arecales; Arecaceae
Description: long non-coding RNA (EGUI_LNC020398)
Source: RNAcentral